AUUGAACGCUGGCGGCAGGCCUAACACAUGCAAGUCGAACGGUAACAGGAAGAAGCUUGCUUCUUUGCUGACGAGUGGCGGACGGGUGAGUAAUGUCUGGGAAACUGCCUGAUGGAGGGGGAUAACUACUGGAAACGGUAGCUAAUACCGCAUAACGUCGCAAGACCAAAGAGGGGGACCUUCGGGCCUCUUGCCAUCGGAUGUGCCCAGAUGGGAUUAGCUAGUAGGUGGGGUAACGGCUCACCUAGGCGACGAUCCCUAGCUGGUCUGAGAGGAGGACCAGCCACACUGGAACUGAGACACGGUCCAGACUCCUACGGGAGGCAGCAGUGGGGAAUAUUGCACAAAGGGCGCAAGCCUGAUGCAGCCAUGCCGCGUGUAUGAAGAAGGCCUUCGGGUUGUAAAGUACUUUCAGCGGGGAGGAAGGGAGUAAAGUUAAUACCUUGGCUCAUUGACGUUACCCGCAGAAGAAGCACCGGCUAACUCCGUG
RNAcentral lists this ribosomal RNA (490 nucleotides) under uncultured bacterium. Its description in RNAcentral is "partial 16S ribosomal RNA". It matches the Rfam family "Bacterial small subunit ribosomal RNA", at positions 30 to 507 of the family's 1533-position model. The record is from RNAcentral.